This 226-nucleotide unclassified non-coding RNA is filed under the name soil metagenome. RNAcentral's name for it is "partial contains small subunit ribosomal RNA, internal transcribed spacer 1, and 5.8S ribosomal RNA". The record is from RNAcentral.
UUUCCGUUGGUGAACCAGCGGAAGGAUCAUUACAGAGUUCAUGCCCUUCGGGGUAGACCUCCCACCCUGUUUAUAUACUAUUGUUGCUUUGGCAGGUGCCCUCACCAUGGGGCGUCCGGGUUCCGCCCGCGUCUCGCCUGCCAAAAGCCCCACUAAUUCUGUGUUCUGUGUCGUCUGAGUACUAUAUAAUAAGUUAAAACUUUCAACAACGGAUCUCUUGGUUCUG